Molecule: ribosomal RNA, 253 nt
Filed under: uncultured bacterium
Lineage: Bacteria
Description: partial 16S ribosomal RNA
Rfam family: Bacterial small subunit ribosomal RNA
Source: RNAcentral
UACGUAGGGUGCGAGCGUUAAUCGGAAUUACUGGGCGUAAAGCGUGCGCAGGCGGUUUUGCAAGCCGGAUGUGAAAUCCCCGGGCUUAACCUGGGAAUGGCAUUUGGGACUGCAAGGCUCGAGUGCGGCAGAGGAGACUGGAAUUCCUGGUGUAGCAGUGAAAUGCGUAGAUAUCAGGAGGAAUACCGAUGGCGAAGGCAGGUCUCUGGGCUGACACUGACGCUCAUGCACGAAAGCGUGGGGAGCAAACAGG